This 214-nucleotide ribosomal RNA is filed under the name Escherichia coli. RNAcentral describes it as "partial 23S ribosomal RNA". It matches the Rfam family "Bacterial large subunit ribosomal RNA", at positions 2729 to 2925 of the family's 2925-position model. Lineage: Bacteria; Pseudomonadati; Pseudomonadota; Gammaproteobacteria; Enterobacterales; Enterobacteriaceae. The record is from RNAcentral.
CCAAUGGCACUGCCCGGUAGCUAAAUGCGGAAGAGAUAAGUGCUGAAAGCAUCUAAGCACGAAACUUGCCCCGAGAUGAGUUCUCCCUGACUCCUUGAGAGUCCUGAAGGAACGUUGAAGACGACGACGUUGAUAGGCCGGGUGUGUAAGCGCAGCGAUGCGUUGAGCUAACCGGUACUAAUGAACCGUGAGGCUUAACCUUACAACGCCGAAG